AUGCACGCUGGCGGCGUGCCUAAUACAUGCAAGUCGCGCGAACAGACGAGGAGCUUGCUCCUCUGACGUUAGCGGCGGACGGGUGAGUAACACGUGGAUAACCUACCUAUAAGACUGGGAUAACUUCGGGAAACCGGAGCUAAUACCGGAUAAUAUAUUGAACCGCAUGGUUCAAUAGUGAAAGACGGUUUUGCUGUCACUUAUAGAUGGAUCCGCGCCGCAUUAGCUAGUUGGUGAGGUAACGGCUUACCAAGGCGACGAUGCGUAGCCGACCUGAGAGGGUGAUCGGCCACACUGGAACUGAGACACGGUCCAGACUCCUACGGGAGGCAGCAGUAGGGAAUCUUCCGCAAUGGGCGAAAGCCUGACGGAGCAACGCCGCGUGAGUGAUGAAGGUCUUCGGAUCGUAAAACUCUGUUAUUAGGGAAGAACAAAUGUGUAAGUAACUAUGCACGUCUUGACGGUACCUAAUCAGAAAGCCACGGCUAACUACGUG
This 496-nucleotide ribosomal RNA is filed under the name uncultured bacterium. RNAcentral's name for it is "partial 16S ribosomal RNA". It matches the Rfam family "Bacterial small subunit ribosomal RNA", at positions 29 to 507 of the family's 1533-position model. The record is from RNAcentral.